RNAcentral lists this ribosomal RNA (579 nucleotides) under Microstigma rotundatum. Its description in RNAcentral is "SSU rRNA". It matches the Rfam family "Eukaryotic small subunit ribosomal RNA", at positions 605 to 1159 of the family's 1831-position model. Lineage: Eukaryota; Metazoa; Arthropoda; Insecta; Odonata; Coenagrionidae. The record is from RNAcentral.
UAAAGUUGUUGCGGUUAAAAAGCUCGUAGUCGGAGGUGUGUCUCGGACGGUCGGUUCGCCGCUUGUCGGUGCUCAACUGGCCGGUCCGGACGUCCUGCCGGUGGGGCCGCGAGGCUCCGUCAUCCUUCUUUGGUCCUCUUCACCGAGUGCCUUGGUGGGCCGGCACGUUUACUUUGAACAAAUUAGAGUGCUCAAAGCAGGCCGUUGGUCGCCUGAAUACUGUGUGCAUGGAAUAAUGGAAUAGGACCUCGGUUCCAUUUUGUUGGUUUUCAGAACUCGAGGUAAUGAUUAAUAGGGACGGACGGGGGCAUUCGUAUUGCGACGUUAGAGGUGAAAUUCUUGGAUCGUCGCAAGACGAACCGAUGCGAAAGCAUUUGCCAAGAACGUUUUCGUUGAUCAAGAACGAAAGUUAGAGGUUCGAAGGCGAUCAGAUACCGCCCUAGUUCUAACCAUAAACGAUGCCAGCUAGCCAUCCGCCGAAGUUCCUUCUAUGACUCGGCGGGCAGCUUCCGGGAAACCAAAGCUCUUGGGUUCCGGGGGAAGUAUGGUUGCAAAGCUCAAACUUAAAGGAAUUGACGG